This 66-nucleotide transfer RNA is filed under the name Allacta transversa. RNAcentral describes it as "tRNA-Gly". The record is from RNAcentral. Lineage: Eukaryota; Metazoa; Arthropoda; Insecta; Blattodea; Pseudophyllodromiidae.
ACUUAUUUAAUAUAAAUAAAGUAUAUUUGACUUCCAAUCAAAAAGUUUGAUAAAACAAAAUAAGUA